GAUGAACGCUGGCGGCGUGCCUAAUACAUGCAAGUCGAGCGAACAGACGAGGAGCUUGCUCCUCUGACGUUAGCGGCGGACGGGUGAGUAACACGUGGAUAACCUACCUAUAAGACUGGGAUAACUUCGGGACACCGGAGCUAAUACCGGAUAAUAUAUUGAACCGCAUGGUUCAAUAGUGAAAGACGGUUUUGCUGUCACUUAUCGAUGGAUCCGCGCCGCAUUAGCUAGUUGGUAAGGUAACGGCUUACCAAGGCGACGAUGCGUAGCCGACCUGAGAGGGGGAUCGGCCACACUGGAACUGAGACACGGUCCAGACUCCUACGGGAGGCAGCAGUAGGGAAUCUUCCGCAAUGGGCGAAAGCCUGACGGAGCAACGCCGCGUGAGUGAUGAAGGUCUUCGGAUCGUAAAACUCUGUUAUGAGGGAAGAACAAAUGUGUAAGUAACUAUGCACGUCUUGACGGUACCUAAUCAGAAAGCCACGGCUAACUACGUG
This 497-nucleotide ribosomal RNA is filed under the name uncultured bacterium. RNAcentral describes it as "partial 16S ribosomal RNA". It matches the Rfam family "Bacterial small subunit ribosomal RNA", at positions 28 to 507 of the family's 1533-position model. The record is from RNAcentral.